Molecule: non-coding RNA, 2765 nt
Organism: Odocoileus virginianus texanus
Lineage: Eukaryota; Metazoa; Chordata; Mammalia; Artiodactyla; Cervidae
Source: RefSeq, a predicted model, not a curated record
CUUUUUUUGGUGGGGCUUCUCUGGUGGCUCAAAUGGUAAAGAAUCCACCUGCAAGGCAGGAGACCUGGGUUCAAACCCCUGGAGAAGGGAGUGUACCAAUUCUUAUUUUCAUUUUCCCUUCACUCUUUGUAUUUUGCCCUACACUUUCACUGGGUAUAAAUUCAACUGAAAUACACUUUAAAAUUAAAAUACACACAUGCAUCCAAUGAUGCUUAACUUACCUCCUUUCUAAAUAGCAUUCUGUAGUUUUAAGAGAAAAAAAGACUCCAAAGUAAAGUGACUGUUUACAAAGGAUCUAUCAUCUGACUCUUUUAAUCACAUUUUUUUUUUUUUCAGAGAAAUUUAGGGUUUUCUAUCCUAUUCAUUCAAGGCUUGAAGUUUUAUACCAGUGUUACUAGUGUUUUUUAGAAAUUCCAUCAUGAUGAUAUUUUACAAAGAUUGCUCUAUCAACUAUUUUGUUCUUACACACUUCCUCAGAAAAGACACCGUUAUAUACUUCUGUGAAGAGGAAGUGGCAUUCUUAUAAGUAAUUUUCAGUUCUUUUUGACAACUUAAAUCAAGAAUGACUGCAAACAUCUCAGAAUUUUUUCAAUGCACAGUUAUUCUCCUAUCUAAACAUAAGAUUCUUCAGUUAAAUUAAGUGAAUAGAUGUGUUUAAAUGAAAGAAAAAAGAAGGACCAAAAUGCUACAAUUCAAACCUCUGGAUGGAGAUUUCACGAUAAUAAAACACUUCCUACUAAUAUUGUUUAAGUUACAGAGAAAGCUGACCAGAUAAAUGGGCAUAAACUUAAAUUAUAAUCAAAAUCAUAUUUUAAUUGAAAUUAAAGAGCUGAAAUUGACCCUAGAAAGCUAGUCUCUUCAAUCUGACAGAGGAAGAACCAACUAGAGACCAAAGAAUAUUGAGUGCCUACCAUGAGCCACUUUCUGGACAAAGGCUUUUCUCACUUGAUUAUCACAGUUUUCCCAUCAAGUAUUUAUUACACCUAUUUUAUCAAGGAAAGUGGUGUCAUGGCAAGACUGAUACAGCUAGUUAGGAGCAGAGAUGUUCUCAUAGCCCAGAUUUCCAGGUAUCAAUUUAAGGAUCCUUUUAACUAUGCCACUCCCAUGUAAUAUUUUUGGAAAUUGCUCAUUGUGAUGUCACAAUACUUUAAAACAUUAUAAACACAGAAAUAGAGUACCCUAGAACCUUGACAUAAGACUCUUUGUUAAAGAACAGAGCUCCUGAAAACAAGAUUAUUCCUUCUUGACUGCUAAGAAAAGGAGCAUUAGCAGUUAAACGUUACAUGCACCUCAUGGGCCCCAAGACAUAAUUGUACUGAGGCUCCUAGGCACCUAAAUCCCUAUUCACUUGGCUUCUAAAUGACUUCAUGACAGUAUCAUUUAUUCAAGUUGUAGUUGGCCAUUUCUCAUUUAUAGUCUACUCUGACAUCUGGACUCCAUUAAGAAGGAUAGGGAAAGAUUUUCACACUCGCAGAAAUAAAUGAAGAUAUUUCAGCACGCCUAAAGAAACACUGAAAUCCCUGGAGCAAGGAGCAACACCCAUUUCCUGUUCAGAGCUAGGAAAAGGCAUUUUCAUCAUCUUGCAUGACACAGAUGUCAGCGAGGGAUUGACCACUGAGGUGACCACCAUCGCCAGCAAACUCCUGCACCCAGUUUCAGCAGGACAGGAAAUGUCAAUUUUUUCAUGUAUGCAUGAAACUUAUCUAUUAUAAAUCAAUGUUAUGUCAAUUAAACAAAUUAUAAAACUCAAAAACAAAGACCUAAAUAAUAAAACAAAAAAAGCCAAGACAACUAGCGAUUCAGGUUAUUAACACAAGAAUGUGUCUUCAUGCUAAAAGUCUAAGAACUCUGACAAAAAGAAUAUCCAGCUUGCAAACAGGGCAUUAAACAAAUGAGAGGGAAUUAACAUGUGGUUGUUUUAAUACACAGCGGAGUGAAGAGCGAGGCAUUUCUACAAACUCUAAGGUCCAGAUUUGAAGCAAGGGGCUCCCUAUCAUAAGAGUGAAGCAAGGCUCCUGGAGCAGGAGUUUAAGCAAAGGGUUUUUAAGCCUCUGAUGAGGUUAAGAACCAGCUUCUAAGAAUUUAGAGUUUCAAACUGAAAGGUAAGACUAUAUAAGGCAAGAAAGACCACACACUUCCUGGACCUAAGGCCUCCCAGAAACCAUACUUGUUCACCACUCUACCCCACCCAGUCCACCUCCUCCCUCCGGCUUUGCCCCACAGACUGUCAACUUCUAGGUGUUCAUGAAUUUAGAACUCCUUAGUUUCCCGUUAUGCAUCAGGAGAUGGAAUCAAACACCCCUCCACAGUGAGACUGGUUUGUUGGGGAAAGGGUGGGGAUGUAUUCAAAAACACUUUAAAAGGGAAACUCUUUGAAAGUUCUACUCGGAUAAGUCCUGGAGAAUAAUUUUCUAACAUCAAAAAAUAGUUUUCAGCAGUGUUAUCCUGAUUUAGCAGAGGAUGCCUUCUUGUCAGCCUUUCAACACAGCUGUUGACAAGACAGAAGGAGUCUCAGGAAGUUCUGGCUGGAUACUGAGAAGAGCGAGGCACCAGAUGCAACCCACUUGAGAAGUAGAUGUUUAAACACCAAGGACUGGCAUGUUUGACCGCCUGUGUCAAAAUCAAGUCUGCCUCUCCGCCUACCAGGACCGCAAAACAAUGUUCAUUUCACUAUCCAUGAAUAAAUGGGAAAAGAAAUAAAAGCAGGCUGUUUCCUUUUUUCGUAGAAGGAGUUGCAGACUUUUGUCAUACGGCUUGGUUGGGCG